UACAUUUCCAGUGGCGAGCGCCGACGGCGUCCAAUCGUCGGAGUCACCACAAAUGUUUUCAGAGUAUGUAGAGGGAGUCUCAGGCCAUGGACCAACACUCAGAAGAAUGGUCCGCACCGAGACCCGCACGAUGACGACGUUCGAUGACGAGA
This is a long non-coding RNA of Pollicipes pollicipes, 152 nucleotides long. RefSeq lists it as uncharacterized. The transcript has 3 exons. The record is from RefSeq and is a predicted model, not a curated record. NCBI's taxonomy places the organism in Eukaryota, Metazoa, Arthropoda, Thecostraca, Pollicipedomorpha, Pollicipedidae.